UAAUCUCAGGGUCGUGGGUUCGAGC
Molecule: non-coding RNA, 25 nt
Filed under: Drosophila erecta
Lineage: Eukaryota; Metazoa; Arthropoda; Insecta; Diptera; Drosophilidae
Also listed under: 4 other names
Source: RNAcentral